This is a long non-coding RNA of Mustela erminea (ermine), 812 nucleotides long. RefSeq lists it as uncharacterized. The transcript is spliced from 4 exons. The record is from RefSeq and is a predicted model, not a curated record. Lineage: Eukaryota; Metazoa; Chordata; Mammalia; Carnivora; Mustelidae.
UCCAGGGGGCGAACGCGGAGGCGCCAGCGCGGUCUCAGUCUGCGGGAAGGGGCUGCACCUAGCGGGUCGGGGGGCGCGGCCUCCACCCGGAAUCCUAGCCCAGUUCUGGGCCUUCAGUCGUUCUACCACCGCCACCCGCACCCCUCCCCGCACUGCCGCACGUUCAUGCCCCGCACGGCCGCUUCAGCCUCUCAAGUUCACAGCCCGCCUAAUCGCACGAGGAGCCUCCUCCAGGCCAGGCCCUCCGGCUCGGGGCUGGGCACCCCUAUAAGACGACUCCAGCUGGUUCCCCUUCCUCUGAGCUUUCGGGGUCCACCUGCUUUUACAGGUUAAUGUUACUUGGUGAUUAGAAGUGGAAUGCUAAGAAGACCCCCACCAACUCCAAGGCUGGUAAACAGACAUGCCAGCAUGGCCACAGAGUCAGCUGGGCACCUACUGCUUUCUGGCUGACCCUGGAGUUUGAGCCCUAGGUGUGACCUGACACUGUGUUGUGAUAUAACUUCUGUAAGGUAGCCACAGAAUCUGGAGGUUUUUCACUUGCAUCAAGUCCAGACCCCUUCUUGCCCUGCCAUAAUCUGCCCCAGUGGGAAGACCUCCUUGUUCUCAUAAUCCUUUGGUCUCUAGUCUGGCCUCAGAAUCUGCUUUUCAUCAUUCUGGUCUGCUGCUUCUCACAAAUGAGCAAACAUGGCCCCGGCCAGCAUUAGAACACCGCAGCUGCUAAUACAAAGUGCUUCUUCUGUACUUGAGUCCUCUUCAAGAUAUAACAUGUAGGGGCACCUGGGUGGUUCAGUGGGUUAAGCCUCUGCCUUCAG